This 114-nucleotide ribosomal RNA is filed under the name Acanthosepion pharaonis. The record is from RNAcentral. Lineage: Eukaryota; Metazoa; Mollusca; Cephalopoda; Sepiida; Sepiidae.
UACGACAAUAUCACGUUGAAACACCGAUUCUCGUACGAUCAGCAAAGUUAAGCAACGUCGAGCUUGGUCAGUACCUAGAUGAUUGACAACUUGCGGAAUGCCAGGUGCUGUAAG